RNAcentral lists this ribosomal RNA (3007 nucleotides) under Salmonella enterica subsp. enterica serovar Senftenberg. RNAcentral describes it as "23S ribosomal RNA". It matches the Rfam family "Bacterial large subunit ribosomal RNA". Lineage: Bacteria; Pseudomonadati; Pseudomonadota; Gammaproteobacteria; Enterobacterales; Enterobacteriaceae. RNAcentral also lists the same sequence under 1 other name. The record is from RNAcentral.
GGUUAAGCGACUAAGCGUACACGGUGGAUGCCCUGGCAGUCAGAGGCGAUGAAGGGCGUGCUAAUCUGCGAUAAGCGCCGGUAAGGUGAUAUGAACCGUUAUAACCGGCGAUACCCGAAUGGGGAAACCCAGUGUGAUUCGUCACACUAUCAUUAACUGAAUCCAUAGGUUAAUGAGGCGAACCGGGGGAACUGAAACAUCUAAGUACCCCGAGGAAAAGAAAUCAACCGAGAUUCCCCCAGUAGCGGCGAGCGAACGGGGAGGAGCCCAGAGCCUGAAUCAGCAUGUGUGUUAGUGGAAGCGUCUGGAAAGGCGCGCGAUACAGGGUGACAGCCCCGUACACAAAAGCGCAUGUGCUGUGAGCUCGAUGAGUAGGGCGGGACACGUGGUAUCCUGUCUGAAUAUGGGGGGACCAUCCUCCAAGGCUAAAUACUCCUGACUGACCGAUAGUGAACCAGUACCGUGAGGGAAAGGCGAAAAGAACCCCGGCGAGGGGAGUGAAAAAGAACCUGAAACCGUGUACGUACAAGCAGUGGGAGCCCCACCACUAAGCCAGUGGUGAACUCCACAUACGCAUCCUUUGCUGAGGAUACGGUUAACGGAGCGAAAGCGACGUUCAACCUCAAAAGAAGCAGAGGGGGCUUAGUGGUGGGGUGACUGCGUACCUUUUGUAUAAUGGGUCAGCGACUUAUAUUCUGUAGCAAGGUUAACCGUAUAGGGGAGCCGGAGGGAAACCGAGUCUUAAUUGGGCGUUAAGUUGCAGGGUAUAGACCCGAAACCCGGUGAUCUAGCCAUGGGCAGGUUGAAGGUUGGGUAACACUAACUGGAGGACCGAACCGACUAAUGUUGAAAAAUUAGCGGAUGACCUGUGGCUGGGGGUGAAAGGCCAAUCAAACCGGGAGAUAGCUGGUUCUCCCCGAAAGCUAUUUAGGUAGCGCCUCGUGAAUUCAUCUCCGGGGGUAGAGCACUGUUUCGGCUAGGGGGCCAUCCCGGCUUACCAACCCGAUGCAAACUGCGAAUACCGGAGAAUGUUAUCACGGGAGACACACGGCGGGUGCUAACGUCCGUCGUGAAGAGGGAAACAACCCAGACCGCCAGCUAAGGUCCCAAAGUCAUGGUUAAGUGGGAAACGAUGUGGGAAGGCCCAGACAGCCAGGAUGUUGGCUUAGAAGCAGCCAUCAUUUAAAGAAAGCGUAAUAGCUCACUGGUCGAGUCGGCCUGCGCGGAAGAUGUAACGGGGCUAAACCAUGCACCGAAGCUGCGGCAGCGACGCUGAUGCGUUGUUGGGUAGGGGAGCGUUCUGUAAGCCUGUGAAGGUGGCCUGUGAGGGUUGCUGGAGGUAUCAGAAGUGCGAAUGCUGACAUAAGUAACGAUAAAGCGGGUGAAAAGCCCGCUCGCCGGAAGACCAAGGGUUCCUGUCCAACGUUAAUCGGGGCAGGGUGAGUCGACCCCUAAGGCGAGGCCGAAAGGCGUAGUCGAUGGGAAACGGGUUAAUAUUCCCGUACUUGGUGUUACUGCGAAGGGGGGACGGAGAAGGCUAUGUUGGCCGGGCGACGGUUGUCCCGGUUUAAGCGUGUAGGUGUGUGUUCCAGGUAAAUCCGGUUCACUUUAACACUGAGGCGUGACGACGAGGCACUACGGUGCUGAAGCAACAAAUGCCCUGCUUCCAGGAAAAGCCUCUAAGCAUCAGGUAACAUCAAAUCGUACCCCAAACCGACACAGGUGGUCAGGUAGAGAAUACCAAGGCGCUUGAGAGAACUCGGGUGAAGGAACUAGGCAAAAUGGUGCCGUAACUUCGGGAGAAGGCACGCUGACACGUAGGUGAAGUGAUUUACUCAUGGAGCUGAAGUCAGUCGAAGAUACCAGCUGGCUGCAACUGUUUAUUAAAAACACAGCACUGUGCAAACACGAAAGUGGACGUAUACGGUGUGACGCCUGCCCGGUGCCGGAAGGUUAAUUGAUGGGGUCAGCGCAAGCGAAGCUCCUGAUCGAAGCCCCGGUAAACGGCGGCCGUAACUAUAACGGUCCUAAGGUAGCGAAAUUCCUUGUCGGGUAAGUUCCGACCUGCACGAAUGGCGUAAUGAUGGCCAGGCUGUCUCCACCCGAGACUCAGUGAAAUUGAACUCGCUGUGAAGAUGCAGUGUACCCGCGGCAAGACGGAAAGACCCCGUGAACCUUUACUAUAGCUUGACACUGAACAUUGAGCCUUGAUGUGUAGGAUAGGUGGGAGGCUUUGAAGUGUGGACGCCAGUCUGCAUGGAGCCGACCUUGAAAUACCACCCUUUAAUGUUUGAUGUUCUAACGUGGACCCGUGAUCCGGGUUGCGGACAGUGUCUGGUGGGUAGUUUGACUGGGGCGGUCUCCUCCUAAAGAGUAACGGAGGAGCACGAAGGUUGGCUAAUCCUGGUCGGACAUCAGGAGGUUAGUGCAAUGGCAUAAGCCAGCUUGACUGCGAGCGUGACGGCGCGAGCAGGUGCGAAAGCAGGUCAUAGUGAUCCGGUGGUUCUGAAUGGAAGGGCCAUCGCUCAACGGAUAAAAGGUACUCCGGGGAUAACAGGCUGAUACCGCCCAAGAGUUCAUAUCGACGGCGGUGUUUGGCACCUCGAUGUCGGCUCAUCACAUCCUGGGGCUGAAGUAGGUCCCAAGGGUAUGGCUGUUCGCCAUUUAAAGUGGUACGCGAGCUGGGUUUAGAACGUCGUGAGACAGUUCGGUCCCUAUCUGCCGUGGGCGCUGGAGAACUGAGGGGGGCUGCUCCUAGUACGAGAGGACCGGAGUGGACGCAUCACUGGUGUUCGGGUUGUCAUGCCAAUGGCACUGCCCGGUAGCUAAAUGCGGAAGAGAUAAGUGCUGAAAGCAUCUAAGCACGAAACUUGCCCCGAGAUGAGUUCUCCCUGAGACUUAGAGUCUCCUGAAGGAACGUUGAAGACGACGACGUUGAUAGGCCGGGUGUGUAAGCGCAGCGAUGCGUUGAGCUAACCGGUACUAAUGAACCGUGAGGCUUAACCUU